GGCGGAUAACGCUGGCGGCGUGCCUAAUACAUGCAAGUCGAGCGAACAAAAAAGGAGCUUGCUCCUUUCACGUUAGCGGCGGACGGGUGAGUAACACGUGGGUAACCUACCUAUAAGACUGGAAUAACUCCGGGAAACCGGGGCUAAUGCCGGAUAACAUUUAGAACCGCAUGGUUCUAAAGUGAAAGAUGGUUUUGCUAUCACUUAUAGAUGGACCCGCGCCGUAUUAGCUAGUUGGUAAGGUAAUGGCUUACCAAGGCAACGAUACGUAGCCGACCUGAGAGGGUGAUCGGCCACACUGGAACUGAGACACGGUCCAGACUCCUACGGGAGGCAGCAGUAGGGAAUCUUCCGCAAUGGGCGAAAGCCUGACGGAGCAACGCCGCGUGAGUGAUGAAGGGUUUCGGCUCGUAAAACUCUGUUAUUAGGGAAGAACAAACGUGUAAGUAACUGUGCACGUCUUGACGGUACCUAAUCAGAAAGCCACGGCUAACUACGUGCCAGCAGCCGCGGUAAUACGUAGGUGGCAAGCGUUAUCCGGAAUUAUUGGGGCGUAAAGCGCGCGUAGGCGGUUUCUUAAUUCCGAUGGGAAACCCCAGGG
This 601-nucleotide ribosomal RNA is filed under the name Staphylococcus arlettae. RNAcentral's name for it is "bacterial SSU rRNA". It matches the Rfam family "Bacterial small subunit ribosomal RNA", at positions 24 to 607 of the family's 1533-position model. Lineage: Bacteria; Bacillati; Bacillota; Bacilli; Caryophanales; Staphylococcaceae. The record is from RNAcentral.